AAAUCCGGUUCACUUUAACACUGAGGCGUGACGACGAGGCACUACGGUGCUGAAGCAACAAAUGCCCUGCUUCCAGGAAAAGCCUCUAAGCAUCAGGUAACAUCAAAUCGUACCCCAAACCGACACAGGUGGUCAGGUAGAGAAUACCAAGGCGCUUGAGAGAACUCGGGUGAAGGAACUAGGCAAAAUGGUGCCGUAACUUCGGGAGAAGGCACGCUGACACGUAGGUGAAGUGAUUUACUCAUGGAGCUGAAGUCAGUCGAAGAUACCAGCUGGCUGCAACUGUUUAUUAAAAACACAGCACUGUGCAAACACGAAAGUGGACGUAUACGGUGUGACGCCUGCCCGGUGCCGGAAGGUUAAUUGAUGGGGUCAGCGCAAGCGAAGCUCCUGAUCGAAGCCCCGGUAAACGGCGGCCGUAACUAUAACGGUCCUAAGGUAGCGAAAUUCCUUGUCGGGUAAGUUCCGACCUGCACGAAUGGCGUAAUGAUGGCCAGGCUGUCUCCACCCGAGACUCAGUGAAAUUGAACUCGCUGUGAAGAUGCAGUGUACCCGCGGCAAGACGGAAAGACCCCGUGAACCUUUACUAUAGCUUGACACUGAACAUUGAGCCUUGAUGUGUAGGAUAGGUGGGAGGCUUUGAAGUGUGGACGCCAGUCUGCAUGGAGCCGACCUUGAAAUACCACCCUUUAAUGUUUGAUGUUCUAACGUGGACCCGUUACCCGGGUUGCGGACAGUGUCUGGUGGGUAGUUUGACUGGGGCGGUCUCCUCCUAAAGAGUAACGGAGGAGCACGAAGGUUGGCUAAUCCUGGUCGGACAUCAGGAGGUUAGUGCAAUGGCAUAAGCCAGCUUGACUGCGAGCGUGACGGCGCGAGCAGGUGCGAAAGCAGGUCAUAGUGAUCCGGUGGUUCUGAAUGGAAGGGCCAUCGCUCAACGGAUAAAAGGUACUCCGGGGAUAACAGGCUGAUACCGCCCAAGAGUUCAUAUCGACGGCGGUGUUUGGCACCUCGAUGUCGGCUCAUCACAUCCUGGGGCUGAAGUAGGUCCCAAGGGUAUGGCUGUUCGCCAUUUAAAGUGGUACGCGAGCUGGGUUUAGAACGUCGUGAGACAGUUCGGUCCCUAUCUGCCGUGGGCGCUGGAGAACUGAGGGGGGCUGCUCCUAGUACGAGAGGACCGGAGUGGACGCAUCACUGGUGUUCGGGUUGUCAUGCCAAUGGCACUGCCCGGUAGCUAAAUGCGGAAGAGAUAAGUGCUGAAAGCAUCUAAGCACGAAACUUGCCCCGAGAUGAGUUCUCCCUGAGACUUAAAGUCUCCUGAAGGAACGUUGAAGACGACGACGUUGAUAGGCCG
RNAcentral lists this ribosomal RNA (1351 nucleotides) under Salmonella enterica subsp. enterica serovar Enteritidis. Its description in RNAcentral is "partial 23S ribosomal RNA". It matches the Rfam family "Bacterial large subunit ribosomal RNA", at positions 1538 to 2863 of the family's 2925-position model. The record is from RNAcentral. Lineage: Bacteria; Pseudomonadati; Pseudomonadota; Gammaproteobacteria; Enterobacterales; Enterobacteriaceae.